UGGGGGGAGGAUUAAAAAGUAACAAGGUUUCCGUAGGUGAACCUGCGGAAGGAUCAUUACAGUAUUCUUUUUGCCAGCGCUUAAUUGCGCGGCGAAAAAACCUUACACACAGUGUUUUUUGUUAUUACAAGAACUCUUGCUUUGGUCUGGACUAGAAAUAGUUUGGGCCAGAGGUUUACUAAACUAAACUUCAAUAUUUAUAUUGAAUUGUUAUUUAUUUUAAUUGUCAAUUUGUUGAUUAAAUUCAAAAAAUCUUCAAAACUUUCAACAACGGAUCUCUUGGUUCUCGCAUCGAUGAAGAACGCAGCGAAAUGCGAUAAGUAAUAUGAAUUGCAGAUUUUCGUGAAUCAUCGAAUCUUUGAACGCACAUUGCGCCCUUUGGUAUUCCAAAGGGCAUGCCUGUUUGAGCGUCAUUUCUCUCUCAAACCUUCGGGUUUGGUAUUGAGUGAUACUCUUAGUCGAACUAGGCGUUUGCUUGAAAUGUAUUGGCAUGAGUGGUACUGGAUAGUGCUAUAUGACUUUCAAUGUAUUAGGUUUAUCCAACUCGUUGAAUAGUUUAAUGGUAUAUUUCUCGGUAUUCUAGGCUCGGCCUUACAAUAUAACAAACAAGUUUGACCUCAAAUCAGGUAGGACUACCCGCUGAACUUAAGCAUAUCAAAACCGCGGGGGGAA
This 672-nucleotide ribosomal RNA is filed under the name Debaryomyces hansenii. RNAcentral describes it as "eukaryotic LSU rRNA". The stretch from base 260 to 413 matches the Rfam family "5.8S ribosomal RNA". Lineage: Eukaryota; Fungi; Ascomycota; Pichiomycetes; Serinales; Debaryomycetaceae. The record is from RNAcentral.